RNAcentral lists this ribosomal RNA (1652 nucleotides) under Deporaus unicolor. RNAcentral describes it as "SSU rRNA". It matches the Rfam family "Eukaryotic small subunit ribosomal RNA", at positions 80 to 1641 of the family's 1831-position model. Lineage: Eukaryota; Metazoa; Arthropoda; Insecta; Coleoptera; Attelabidae. The record is from RNAcentral.
AGGUGAACCGCGAAGGCUCAUUAAAUCAGUUAUGGUUCCUUAGAUCGUACCCACAAUUACUUGGAUAACUGUGGUAAUUCUAGAGCUAAUACAUGCAAACAGAACUCCGACCGGAGACGGAAGGAGUGCUUUUAUUAGAUCAAAACCAAUCGGUGGCGGGUUCGCUCGUCAUCGUACAACUUGGUGACUCUGAAUAACUUUAUGCUGAUCGCACGGUCUCGCACCGGCGACGCAUCUUUCAAAUGUCUGCCUUAUCAACUGUCGAUGGUAGGUUCUGCGCCUACCAUGGUUGUAACGGGUAACGGGGAAUCAGGGUUCGAUUCCGGAGAGGGAGCCUGAGAAACGGCUACCACAUCCAAGGAAGGCAGCAGGCGCGCAAAUUACCCACUCCCGGCACGGGGAGGUAGUGACGAAAAAUAACGAUACGGGACUCAUCCGAGGCCCCGUAAUCGGAAUGAGUACACUCUAAACCCUUUAACGAGGAUCAAUUGGAGGGCAAGUCUGGUGCCAGCAGCCGCGGUAAUUCCAGCUCCAAUAGCGUAUAUUAAAGUUGUUGCGGUUAAAAAGCUCGUAGUCGAAUCUGUGUCUUGCGCCGCCGGUUCAUCGUUCGCGGUGUUAACUGGCGUGUCGCAGGACGUCCUGCCGGUGGGCUUAGCUCGCAAGGGCGGCCCAACUCAAUCCUGCCGCGGUGCUCUUCACUGAGUGUCGAGGUGGGCCGGCACGUUUACUUUGAACAAAUUAGAGUGCUUAAAGCAGGCUAAAACUUCGCCUGAAUACUGUGUGCAUGGAAUAAUGGAAUAGGACCUCGGUUCUAUUUUGUUGGUUUUCGGAACCCCGAGGUAAUGAUUAAUAGGAACGGAUGGGGGCAUUCGUAUUGCGACGUUAGAGGUGAAAUUCUUGGAUCGUCGCAAGACGGACAGAAGCGAAAGCAUUUGCCAAAAACGCUUUCAUUGAUCAAGAACGAAAGUUAGAGGUUCGAAGGCGAUCAGAUACCGCCCUAGUUCUAACCAUAAACGAUGCCAGCUAGCGAUCCGUCGACGUUCCUCCGAUGACUCGACGGGCAGCUUCCGGGAAACCAAAGCUUUUGGGUUCCGGGGGAAGUAUGGUUGCAAAGCUGAAACUUAAAGGAAUUGACGGAAGGGCACCACCAGGAGUGGAGCCUGCGGCUUAAUUUGACUCAACACGGGAAACCUCACCAGGCCCGGACACCGGAAGGAUUGACAGAUUGAGAGCUCUUUCUUGAUUCGGUGGGUGGUGGUGCAUGGCCGUUCUUAGUUGGUGGAGCGAUUUGUCUGGUUAAUUCCGAUAACGAACGAGACUCUAGCCUGCUAACUAGGCGUAUUUUGACAUCGCAAAGGCCCGCCGGUAUCGGGGUUCGCUCCUUUAUCGUGCGCGGUUUUUACUGUCGGCGUACAAACAAUUCUUCUUAGAGGGACAGGCGGCUUCUAGCCGCACGAGAUUGAGCAAUAACAGGUCUGUGAUGCCCUUAGAUGUUCUGGGCCGCACGCGCGCUACACUGAAGGAAUCAGCGUGUCCUCCCUGGCCGAGUGGCCCGGGUAACCCGCUGAACCUCCUUCGUGCUAGGGAUUGGGGCUUGCAAUUCUUCCCCAUGAACGAGGAAUUCCCAGUAAGCGCGAGUCAUAAGCUCGCGU